GAUGAACGCUGGCGGCGUGCCUAACACACGCAAGUCGAACGGAGAUUAUUCGCUGCGGAGCCUUCGGGCGAAGCUUGAAUGAUCUUAGUGGCGGACGGGUGAGUAACGCGUGGGCAACCUGCCUUGCACAGGGGGAUAGCAGUUGGAAACGACUGGUAAUACCGCAUAUCUUAGAGAGACCGCAUGAUCUUUUUAAGAAAACGUUAGUGGUGCAAGAUGGGCCCGCGUCCGAUUAGAUAGUUGGUGGGGUAACGGCCUACCAAGUCGACGAUCGGUAGCCGACCUAAGAGGGCGGACGGCCACAUUGGGACUGAGACACGGCCCAGACUCCUACGGGAGGCAGCAGUGGGGAAUAUUGCACAAUGGAGGGAACUCUGAUGCAGCGACGCCGCGUGAGUGAAGAAGUAUUUCGGUAUGUAAAGCUCUAUCAGUAGGGAAGAUAAGACGGUACCUACAUAAGAAGCCCGGCUAA
RNAcentral lists this ribosomal RNA (472 nucleotides) under Lachnospiraceae bacterium oral taxon 086. RNAcentral's name for it is "bacterial SSU rRNA". It matches the Rfam family "Bacterial small subunit ribosomal RNA", at positions 28 to 500 of the family's 1533-position model. The record is from RNAcentral. Lineage: Bacteria; Bacillati; Bacillota; Clostridia; Lachnospirales; Lachnospiraceae.